GAUGAACGCUGGCGGCGUGCCUAACACAUGCAAGUCGAACGGAAAGGCACUGCUUUCGUGGGGUUCCCGAGUGGCGAACGGGUGAGUAACACGUGAGUAACCUGCCCUUGACUUUGGGAUAACUUCAGGAAACUGGGGCUAAUACCGGAUAGGAGCUCCUGCAGCAUGGUGGGGGUUGGAAAGUCUCGGCGGUUGGGGAUGGACUGGCGGCUGACCAGCUUGUUGGUGGGGUAGUGGCUUACCAAGGCAUGGACGGGUAGCCGGCCUGAGAGGGUGACCGGCGACAUUGGGACUGAGAGACGGCCCAGACUCCUACGGGAGGCAGCAGGGGGGAAUAUUGCACAAUGGGCGGAAGCCUGAUGCAGCAACGCCGCGUGCGGGAUGACGGCCUUCGGGGUGUAAACCGCUUUCGCCUGUGACGAAGCGUGAGUGACGGUAAUGGGUAAAGAAGCACCGGCUAACUACGUG
RNAcentral lists this ribosomal RNA (468 nucleotides) under uncultured bacterium. Its description in RNAcentral is "partial 16S ribosomal RNA". It matches the Rfam family "Bacterial small subunit ribosomal RNA", at positions 28 to 507 of the family's 1533-position model. The record is from RNAcentral.